RNAcentral lists this ribosomal RNA (558 nucleotides) under uncultured fungus. RNAcentral's name for it is "eukaryotic LSU rRNA". The stretch from base 196 to 349 matches the Rfam family "5.8S ribosomal RNA". The record is from RNAcentral. Lineage: Eukaryota; Fungi.
UCCGUAGGUGAACCUGCGGAAGGAUCAUUAUCGAGUUUGAAAGGGGUUUGCAGCUGGCUCUCCGGAGUAUGUGCUCGCCUCGCUCAUCCACUCUACACCUGUGCACUAUCUGUGGGCUGGGGUUAACGCCUUGGGCUACGUCUUCACACAAACAAUAUGUAUCAGAAUGCAACACCGCGUCUAACGCAAUAAUACAACUUUCAACAACGGAUCUCUUGGCUCUCGCAUCGAUGAAGAACGCAGCGAAAUGCGAUAAGUAAUGUGAAUUGCAGAAUUCAGUGAAUCAUCGAAUCUUUGAACGCACCUUGCGCUCCUUGGUAUUCUGAGGAGCAUGCCUGUUUGAGCGUCGUGAAUCUCUCAACCCACAAAUUGUUUGUUCAGUUUGUGCGGCUUGGACUUGGAGGCAUUGCUGGCGAUGGUCAGCUCCUCUCAAAUGUAUUAGCUGGGCUUAGCUCGGUGGAACGGUUAGUGUGAUAAUUAUCUGCGCUGCCUACUACAUCGGAUCCCGCAUCUAAUCGUCCGCAAGGACAAUUCACUUUGAAUCUGACCUCAAAUCAG